Molecule: ribosomal RNA, 259 nt
Filed under: uncultured bacterium
Lineage: Bacteria
Description: partial 16S ribosomal RNA
Rfam family: Bacterial small subunit ribosomal RNA
Source: RNAcentral
AUCCACGCCGUAACGAUGUCAACUAGGUGUCGGUGGUGUUACACUAUCGGUGCCGAAGCAACGCGUUAAGUUGACCGCCUGGGGACUACGGCCGCAAGGCUAAACUCAAAGGAAUUGACGGGCCCGCACAAGCAGCGGAGCGUGUGGUUUAAUUCGAUGCAACACGAAGAACCUUACCUGGGUUUGACAUGGACGUAGUAGUGAACCGAAAGGGGAACGAGCCUUCGGGCAGCGUUCACAGGUGCUGCAUGGCUGUCGU